Molecule: ribosomal RNA, 411 nt
Filed under: Macaca ochreata (booted macaque)
Lineage: Eukaryota; Metazoa; Chordata; Mammalia; Primates; Cercopithecidae
Description: partial 12S ribosomal RNA
Rfam family: Bacterial small subunit ribosomal RNA
Source: RNAcentral
CCCUAGAGGAGCCUGUUCCAUAAUCGAUAAACCCCGAUCCACCUCACCCUCUCUUGCUUAGCCUAUAUACCGCCAUCUUCAGCAAACCCUGAUAAAGGUUACAAAGUGAGCACAAACGCCCUGCCGCCGCAAAAACGUUAGGUCAAGGUGUAGCCAAUGAAAGGGUAAAAAUGGGCUACAUUUUCUACAUCAGAAAACUCCACGAAAACUCUUAUGAAACCUGAGAGUCCAAGGAGGAUUUAGCAGUAAAUUAAGAAUAGAGUGCUUAAUUGAACCAGGCCAUAAAGCGCGUACACACCGCCCGUCACUCCUCUCAAAUAUAUUUAAGGAACAUCUUAACUAAACGCCCUAAUAUUUAUAUAGAGGGGAUAAGUCGUAACAUGGUAAGUGUACUGGAAGGUGCACUUGGAC